GGGGAAUCUUGCACAAUGGAGGAAACUCUGAUGCAGCAACGCCGCGUGAGCGAUGAAGGUCUUCGGAUCGUAAAGCUCUGUCUUUAGGGAUGAUAAUGACAGUACCUAAGGAGGAAGCCACGGCUAACUACGUGCCAGCAGCCGCGGUAAUACGUAGGUGGCGAGCGUUAUCCGGAUUUAUUGGGCGUAAAGGGAGCGUAGGCGGAUACUUAAGUGGGAUGUGAAAUACUUGGGCUCAACCCGAGUACUGCAUUCCAAACUGAGUAUCUAGAGUGCAGGAGAGGAGAGUGGAAUUCCUAGUGUAGCGGUGAAAUGCGUAGAGAUUAGGAAGAACACCAGUGGCGAAGGCGACUCUCUGGACUGUAACUGAAGCUGAGGCUCGAAAGCGUGGGGAGCGAAC
Molecule: ribosomal RNA, 400 nt
Filed under: uncultured bacterium
Lineage: Bacteria
Description: bacterial SSU rRNA
Rfam family: Bacterial small subunit ribosomal RNA
Source: RNAcentral